CAAGUCAAGGGGGCCCAGCAAUGGGCAACCGGCGAACGGGUGCGUAACACGUGAGCAACCUACCGAACUGUGGGGGAUAGCCGGCCUAACGGCCGAGUAAUACCGCAUACGCUUUCAGUGAGGCAUUUCAUUGAAAGGAAACCUACGGGACAGAUCGAGGGGCUCGCGGCCUAUCAGCUAGUUGGCGAGGUAAUGGCUCACCAAGGCUACGACGGGUAGCUGGUCUGAGAGGAUGGCCAGCCACAUUGGGACUGAGAUACGGCCCAGACUCCUACGGGAGGCAGCAGUGGGGAAUCUUGCGCAAUGGCCUAACGGCUGACGCAGCGACGCCGCGUGUGGGAUGAAGCUCUUCGGAGUGUAAACCACUGUUGCCCGGGACGAAUAGCUCGAUUAAUCGAGCCUGACGGUACCGGGUGAGGAAGCACCGGCUAACUCCGUGCCAGCAGCCGCGGUAAUACGGGGGGUGCGAGCGUUGUCCGGAAUCACUGGGCGUAAAGGGCGCGUAGGUGGUUUGAUAAGGGUGUGGUGAAAGCCCGGGGCUCAACCCCGGGUCUGCCGUGCCGACUGUCAAACUCGAGGGCUGUAGAGGCAGACGGAAUUCCGGGUGUAGCGGUGGAAUGCGUAGAGAUCCGGAGGAAGACCGGUGGCGAAGGCGGUCUGCUGGGCAGUUUCUGACACUGAUGCGCGACAGCGUGGGGAGCAAACAGGAUUAGAUACCCUG
Molecule: ribosomal RNA, 721 nt
Filed under: uncultured Gemmatimonadota bacterium
Lineage: Bacteria; Pseudomonadati; Gemmatimonadota
Description: bacterial SSU rRNA
Rfam family: Bacterial small subunit ribosomal RNA
Source: RNAcentral